RNAcentral lists this ribosomal RNA (393 nucleotides) under uncultured Desulfocapsa sp. Its description in RNAcentral is "bacterial SSU rRNA". It matches the Rfam family "Bacterial small subunit ribosomal RNA", at positions 996 to 1382 of the family's 1533-position model. Lineage: Bacteria; Pseudomonadati; Thermodesulfobacteriota; Desulfobulbia; Desulfobulbales; Desulfocapsaceae. The record is from RNAcentral.
UCUUUCUGAAAGGAGAGAGUGCCUCGCAAGAGGAGCCUGGUGACAGGUGCUGCAUGGCUGUCGUCAGCUCGUGUCGUGAGAUGUUGGUUAAGUCCCGCAACGAGCGCAACCCCUAUCUUUAGUUGCCAUCAUUGAGUUGGGCACUCUAAAGAGACUGCCGGUGGUCAAACCGGGAGGAAGGUGGGGAUGACGUCAAGUCCUCAUGGCCUUUAUGACCAGGGCUACACACGUACUACAAUGGCCGGUACAAAGGGCAGCGACACAGCGAUGUGAAAGCCAAUCCCGAAAAGCCGGUCUCAGUCCGGAUUGGAGUCUGCAACUCGACUCCAUGAAGUUGGAAUCGCUAGUAAUCGCGGAUCAGCACGCCCGCGGUCCGAAUACGUUCCGGGCCUU